Molecule: long non-coding RNA, 517 nt
Filed under: Ananas comosus (pineapple)
Lineage: Eukaryota; Viridiplantae; Streptophyta; Magnoliopsida; Poales; Bromeliaceae
Description: long non-coding RNA (ACOM_LNC008902)
Source: RNAcentral
UCCAAGUGUAUGUAUUAGAAUCCAACAAAUUAAUUUGAUCAGAUGGUUUGAUCAAUUCUAAAUAUAGGUUUAGAAUUUGAUCAAGUUUGAACAUGAUUGUGAUUUGACUCUAGUUUUAUAUGCUAGAGAAUCGAAUAUUUUGGGAAUUGGGAUGUUCGUGAAAAUUGAACUUGAGUUUAGUUUAACGACGUUUCGGUCGAUAUCGAAUUUAGGUUUAGUUUAACGACGUUUCGGUCGAUAUCGAAUUUAGGUUUAGUUUAACGACAUUUCGGUCGAUAUCGAAUUUAGGUUUAGUUUAACGACGUUUCGAUCGAUAUCGAAUUUAGGUUUAGUUUAACGACGUUUCGGUUGAUAUCGAAUUUAGGUUUAGUUUAACGACGUUUCGGUCGAAUGUUUGGUUCACAAGGUUUAUGGUAUUGGGUAUAUGGGAUUAUGGUUCAUGAACUUGGUGUAUGGUUUGUGGUUUAUGAUUCAUGGCUCAUGAACUUGAUUCAUAGUUCAUGGAUUUGGUGUAUGA